RNAcentral lists this ribosomal RNA (199 nucleotides) under Didymellaceae sp. RNAcentral's name for it is "partial large subunit ribosomal RNA". Lineage: Eukaryota; Fungi; Ascomycota; Dothideomycetes; Pleosporales; Didymellaceae. The record is from RNAcentral.
CAGACUUGGGCUUGGUUAAUCAUCUGGGGUUCUCCCCAGUGCACUUUUCCAGUCCAGGCCAGCAUCAGUUUGGGCGGUUGGAUAAAGGUCUCUGUCACGUACCUCCUUUCGGGGAGGCCUUAUAGGGGAGACGUCAUACAACCAGCCUGGACUGAGGUCCGCGCAUCUGCUAGGAUGCUGGCGUAAUGGCUGUAAGCGG